This 87-nucleotide transfer RNA is filed under the name Rhodocyclaceae bacterium. Its description in RNAcentral is "tRNA-Leu". It matches the Rfam family "tRNA". Rfam says of the family: Transfer RNA (tRNA) molecules are approximately 80 nucleotides in length. Their secondary structure includes four short double-helical elements and three loops (D, anti-codon, and T loops). The record is from RNAcentral. RNAcentral also lists the same sequence under 2 other names. Lineage: Bacteria; Pseudomonadati; Pseudomonadota; Betaproteobacteria; Rhodocyclales; Rhodocyclaceae.
GCCGGGAUGGCGGAAUCGGUAGACGCAGUGGACUCAAAAUCCACCGCUGGCAACAGUGUGGGGGUUCGACUCCCCCUCCCGGCACCA